AAGAAUAAUAUUUCAUUUAGCAACUAUAUUAAUCAUCAACAAAUGAUUUUUCUUCAUAUGCAUGAUACACAGUAUAUGAUCGCAGACGCUCAUGAUCUGCUCAAGGAAAAUAUAUAUAUAUAUAUAUAUAUAUAUAUAUAUAUUCUGCUGUUAACAAGGAAAAAUUUUGCGUCAACAAUUACCUAAAGUUCCUAAGUAUUAACACAGAAAUUUUUUCUUUUUACUAUCCAGCUAUUUCACAGGCGAAAUAAUAAAUCACCAGCUGCACACAAAAACACCUAAUUUAAUGACACCGGCUUGCAAGUCAAAACUGAGAAAGCAAGAAACUUCUCAAAAAAUAUAUUUGUAGCAACACAGAACCCUGAGCAUCCGCAGAUGAACGAUCGUUGAUAUUCACAGCUCAGAGUGGCCAAAACUGAAGAUGGCUCUUUAAAAAUAUGAUCAUCUAAUGGUAUUCUGGCCCUUCAGCUUUAGCAGGCCAAUAUCAGAAACCACCAUGUUCACUACUCAUGGUUUUUUGGGCUUGUCCUCUGCAAAGCCAUGAUAUAAAUAUUGGAUUAAAAUGAAAGUGGAUAGAAAAUAUGAUGUAUCCAGCAAAGCAACAGAUAAUAGACAACAUCAUGCACUCUCUACACCAAAUAAAAUCAAGCAGGUCGCAACUAACUACCAUAGAGGUGCAUAUAAGGAAAAACGGAAAGAAACUAUAGAUAAUAUUCAAGAAUUAGAAGCUUCAAAUCCACUAACCAUACGUGACGAAUCUCUUUUAUUUCCUAAUCAUAACAAACAAUGGUAUAUAUUCACAUUUGAAAUUUCUCUAUCUAACAUGCAGGAGAAGUUGAGAAAACCAAGUGCUGCCAUUAAGUGGACAUGAACAAGCAGAGGCGGAUUUAGUAUUCAAAGGUUUUUAGAAUUGAAUCCAUUGUAUUUUUAAAAUUAUGCGUUCAGGCAUACUAGUUGUUGCAAUUUUACUACUAUAUAUUUUGCACAUAAAUUUAUGUUCUGCAUAAAAAAUACUGGGUUCAGAUGAAUCCGAUGGCACAAUACUCCAUCUGCCCCUAUGAAUAAGGCUAAAAUAUUUGAUCUUUAUAUGCUCUUCUGGGAUGUUAUUUCUCCCCUGAGAUUUCCUAAUCAGCUCAUUGCCUGAAAUGCACUUGCAUACUUUCAUGUAAAUUUGAACAGGAAUAUUUCUAGAUGUCUUCUUCUAGUUCCAGAGGCUCAAGUGUCAAGAAAAACGCCUUGCUUCCCUUUAACUCUUCCCUCAUUAGGGUAGGCUGUCUACAUCACACCCCUUGGGGUGCAAUCCUUCCCCCUACGUGAAGGAGAUGCCUUGUGCACCGGGCUGCCCUUUUUCUUUUAGAAGAAAAUUAUUGAAAAGUGUGAAUUAGCACCAUUCCAAGUGUGCUUAACUAAAAGUCGGUAAUGAAUUCAUAAUUCCAACGCAAGUAUUCCCCAAAACAUUCCCGCUUACUAAAAGAAUGUUUUACCUUCAGCUGGUUCUCUUAGAUUACAUCCUCAUGUGAAUUAAAGCAGCGUUUAUUUUGCUUAGUUGACACAUUCAGGAAGUGUGGCACAUCCUAGAAAUUCCAAUUGGCUCUUUAUGACUGCAGUAUUUGGGAUCAUAUGUGAUGCCUCCUAAGCUACAUUCCAAAAAAUAUGAGAGCACAACUAACCAGAAAAAGUUCUAACAUCAUGGUCAUUUAACCUAAACAAGUGAACAGACUAACAAGCAGAGUUGGAACUUUCAGGUGGAGACAUGGAGUAAAUCUCCAUCACACUAAAACUAUAGAUGCACAAGUGUUCAGAAGGCGCUUUUAGAAACUGGGAUUGCUGGUAUCAUAAAUUUAAAGAAAGAUUGACUUCCUGAAUUUGGUCUUGCGUAAUCUCGCUGUUUCUUUCACUAAGGAGUUUAAAUCAACAAAUAGUUUAGUCUUUGAUUGUUCUUAUGGUGUCGGCACAAAGAGAAAUCCCGACUCACAAGGAUCAAAGGUCACAAUUAUCUACUGCUGCCAUGGAAAAAGAGAGAAGCAGAAGAAUAUUCUGCCAUAUGAAGCGGCUACCAAUCAGGAUACUAGAAUUGAAAUAGCUGAGAGAAUCAGAUUCAAGCUGGUUAGUAUCCUUAGAAAUUUCCGAACUUGGGAAUUGAACAUUGCUUUAUCCCAAGGCAAUUCUGCUUAACACGUGCCUUCUAUUUUUCUGAAUCCACAGAAUUGCUUAUCUCAACUAAAACAGAGAGAUUAUAUAUGAUAAUGUAGUUAUCAAUAAAAUACUACGUUUAAUGAGACCCAAAAUGGUUAACUAGUUAUCUAACAUAAUCACAGAAGAAAUGCUAAAGUAACUGACCAUAAGCAAAACAGAUUAGCGUAACAGUGAAAUAACAGAUGUUAUUGGUUAGAAGGAACACCAAAAGAGUAAAUAAAACGAAGAGCAGGAGCUGUCACAUGGCAAUUUCACAAAGAAAAACACAACUUACGUAUGGACUCUGGAUCUAUAUGCACAAAGAAGCUU
RNAcentral lists this long non-coding RNA (2505 nucleotides) under Nicotiana tabacum (common tobacco). RNAcentral describes it as "long non-coding RNA (NTAB_LNC014177)". The record is from RNAcentral. Lineage: Eukaryota; Viridiplantae; Streptophyta; Magnoliopsida; Solanales; Solanaceae.